RNAcentral lists this ribosomal RNA (749 nucleotides) under Sternopriscus alpinus. RNAcentral's name for it is "partial 16S ribosomal RNA". The stretch from base 1 to 572 matches the Rfam family "Bacterial large subunit ribosomal RNA", at positions 1845 to 2925 of the family's 2925-position model. The record is from RNAcentral. RNAcentral also lists the same sequence under 3 other names. Lineage: Eukaryota; Metazoa; Arthropoda; Insecta; Coleoptera; Dytiscidae.
AUUUAAGGUCUAAUCUGCCCACUGAAAAUUUUAAUGGCCGCAGUAAUUUGACUGUGCAAAGGUAGCAUAAUCAUUAGUUUUUUAAUUGAAAGCUUGUAUGAAUGAUUGGACGAGAUAAAUUCUGUCUUUAGAUAAUAAAUAGAAUUUAAUUUUUGAGUUAAAAAGCUUAAAUUUAAAUAAAAGACGAGAAGACCCUAUAGAUCUUUAUUAAAUUUAAAUUAUUAUUAUUUAAGAUUAUUUUAUUUAUUAAUUUUGGUUUAAUUUUAUUGGGGUAAUAAGAAGAUUAAAAAAAUUCUUUUAUAUUGUUACAAAAAUUAUUGAUUUUAAGAUCCUAAAAUUUAGAUUAUAAGAUUAAGUUACCUUAGGGAUAACAGCGUAAUUUCUUUAGAGAGUUCAUAUUGAUAAAGAUGUUUGCGACCUCGAUGUUGGAUUAAAAGUUAUUUUAGGUGCAGUAGUUUAAAAUUUUGGUCUGUUCGACCAUUAAACUUUUACAUGAUCUGAGUUCAAACCGGUGUAAGCCAGGUUGGUUUCUAUCUUUAUUAUAAUAAAAUAUUAUAGUACGAAAGGACCUAAUAUUUAGUAAAUUAAAUACUUUAUUUUUGAAUAUAAGUAUUAUUUUGGCAGAUUAGUGCUUUGAAUUUAGAAUUCAAAUAUGUAAUUUUAUUACAAAUAAUAUUGUUUAUUUUAGAUUUAUUAUUUUCUUUAAUUUGUAUAUUAUUAUUGGUAAUUUGUGUGUUAUUAGGGGUAGC